CUCCUAACCUCAUUAGCAUAAAUCGGAAGAAUUCGGAGAUAAACGUAAUAAAAUAUGAACAAAAUCCGUAAACGUCCGAACAGCUUUCCUCGCGAGAAUUCAGCGAGACCAACAUGCUACAGGUGAAAAUCGAGAGAGAAAUUCAACAUGGAAAAAGAGGAAAAACUUUAUGUUAUCUCGAUUUAUAAAAUUUGUAAAUUGCAAAAAGUUGAAAAACAAACGUUUCUUUACCUGAAAAGUGAAAGGAGGUUUGCAGUUUCUUAUUCUGUCAAGUGCUAUUGCACUUAAAAGUGUCAAAACAGCACCUCUCGAUUUUGUAAACAUGUUUCCACGUGCAAGGGAGUAGUUGUGAUGGUUAAGAUUAACCCACAUACAUUGAUUUAGUGAACAAAAACACUCGUACAGCUGUAGAGUACAUUUUGAACAGCCAUCUCCAGGUAUGACAAAAAUUACACAAUUGACCCUAUAAGGAUAUACUCUUAAGACAGUGAUGUGCAAGUUCAAGGUUUGCCUGUUCAGAUACUUUAAUAAUAAAGAA
Long non-coding RNA from Saccostrea cuccullata (small rock oyster), 538 nucleotides. RefSeq lists it as uncharacterized. The record is from RefSeq and is a predicted model, not a curated record. Lineage: Eukaryota; Metazoa; Mollusca; Bivalvia; Ostreida; Ostreidae. The transcript is spliced from 4 exons.